RNAcentral lists this ribosomal RNA (113 nucleotides) under Pantoea sp. Mhis. Its description in RNAcentral is "partial 16S ribosomal RNA". It matches the Rfam family "Bacterial small subunit ribosomal RNA", at positions 1 to 105 of the family's 1533-position model. The record is from RNAcentral. Lineage: Bacteria; Pseudomonadati; Pseudomonadota; Gammaproteobacteria; Enterobacterales; Erwiniaceae.
UUAAUUGAAGAGUUUGAUCAUGGCUCAGAUUGAACGCUGGCGGCAAGCCUAACACAUGCAAGUCGAACGGCAACACAAAAGAGCUUGCUCUUUGGGUGGCGAGUGGCGGACGG